Molecule: ribosomal RNA, 489 nt
Filed under: uncultured bacterium
Lineage: Bacteria
Description: partial 16S ribosomal RNA
Rfam family: Bacterial small subunit ribosomal RNA
Source: RNAcentral
AUUGAACGCUGGCGGCAUGCCUUACACAUGCAAGUCGAACGGCAGCAUGAUCUAGCUUGCUAGAUUGAUGGCGAGUGGCGAACGGGUGAGUAAUACAUCGGAACGUGCCCUGUAGUGGGGGAUAACUAGUCGAAAGAUUAGCUAUACCGCCUUCGACCCGAGGGUGGAAGGUGGGGCCCGGAAGGCCCUCUUGCAUAGGAACGGCCGAUGUCUGAUUAGCUAGUUGGUGAGGUAAAGGCUCACCAAGGCGACGAUCAGUAGCUGGUCUGAGAGGACGAUCAGCCACACUGGGACUGAGACACGGCCCAGACUCCUACGGGAGGCAGCAGUGGGGAAUUUUGGACAAUGGGCGAAAGCCUGAUCCAGCAAUGCCGCGUGUGUGAAGAAGGCCUUCGGGUUGUAAAGCACUUUUGUCCGGAAAGAAAUGGCUCUGGUUAAUACCUGGGGUCGAUGACGGUACCGGAAGAAUAAGGACCGGCUAACUACGUG